GCAUAUGUGGCUCAGUUGGUAGAGCAUGGUGUUUGCAAUGGUGUUUGCAACGCCAGGGUUGUGGGUUUGAUUCCCACAGGGGGCC
This 85-nucleotide transfer RNA is filed under the name Salmo salar (Atlantic salmon). It matches the Rfam family "tRNA". From Rfam's summary of the family: Transfer RNA (tRNA) molecules are approximately 80 nucleotides in length. Their secondary structure includes four short double-helical elements and three loops (D, anti-codon, and T loops). Further hydrogen bonds mediate the characteristic L-shaped molecular structure. tRNAs have two regions of fundamental functional importance: the anti-codon, which is responsible for specific mRNA codon recognition, and the 3' end, to which the tRNAs corresponding amino acid is attached (by aminoacyl-tRNA synthetases). tRNAs cope with the degeneracy of the genetic code in two manners: having more than one tRNA (with a specific anti-codon) for a particular amino acid; and 'wobble' base-pairing, i.e. permitting non-standard base-pairing at the 3rd anti-codon position. Lineage: Eukaryota; Metazoa; Chordata; Actinopteri; Salmoniformes; Salmonidae. The record is from Rfam by way of RNAcentral.